UCAGUGUGUGUGUUAGUGGAAGCGUCUGGAAAGGCGCGCGAUACAGGGUGACAGCCCCGUACACAAAAAUGCACAUGCUGUGAGCUCGAUGAGUAGGGCGGGACACGUGGUAUCCUGUCUGAAUAUGGGGGGACCAUCCUCCAAGGCUAAAUACUCCUGACUGACCGAUAGUGAACCAGUACCGUGAGGGAAAGGCGAAAAGAACCCCGGCGAGGGGAGUGAAAAAGAACCUGAAACCGUGUACGUACAAGCAGUGGGAGCACGCUUAGGCGUGUGACUGCGUACCUUUUGUAUAAUGGGUCAGCGACUUAUAUUCUGUAGCAAGGUUAACCGAAUAGGGGAGCCGAAGGGAAACCGAGUCUUAACUGGGCGUUAAGUUGCAGGGUAUAGACCCGAAACCCGGUGAUCUAGCCAUGGGCAGGUUGAAGGUUGGGUAACACUAACUGGAGGACCGAACCGACUAAUGUUGAAAAAUUAGCGGAUGACUUGUGGCUGGGGGUGAAAGGCCAAUCAAACCGGGAGAUAGCUGGUUCUCCCCGAAAGCUAUUUAGGUAGCGCCUCGUGAAUUCAUCUCCGGGGGUAGAGCACUGUUUCGGCAAGGGGGUCAUCCCGACUUACCAACCCGAUGCAAACUGCGAAUACCGGAGAAUGUUAUCACGGG
This 661-nucleotide ribosomal RNA is filed under the name Escherichia coli. RNAcentral's name for it is "partial 23S ribosomal RNA". It matches the Rfam family "Bacterial large subunit ribosomal RNA", at positions 317 to 981 of the family's 2925-position model. The record is from RNAcentral. Lineage: Bacteria; Pseudomonadati; Pseudomonadota; Gammaproteobacteria; Enterobacterales; Enterobacteriaceae.